UUAAAUCAGCUAUGGUUCCUUAGAUCGUACAUGCUACAUGGAUAACUGUAGUAAUUCUAGAGCUAAUACAUGCCACUAUGCCCUGACCCGCAAGGGAACGGGUGGAUUUAUUAGAACAGAACCAACCGGGAGCGGCUUCGGUCGUUCCUGUUGCACUCUGUGAUGACUCUGGAUAACUUUACUGAUCGCAGUCGGCCUUGUGUCGGCGACGGAUCUUUCAAAUGUCUGCCCUAUCAACUUUCGAUGGUAGGUGAUCUGCCUACCAUGGUGAUAACGGGUAACGGGGAAUCAGGGUUCGAUUCCGGAGAGGGAGCCUGAGAAACGGCUACCACAUCCAAGGAAGGCAGCAGGCGCGAAAAUUACCCACUCCCGGCACGGGGAGGUAGUGACGAAAAAUACGAAUACGGGACUCACUCGAGGCUCCGUAAUUCGAAUGAGUACAAUCUAAAUCCUUUAACGAGGACCAAUUGGAGGGCAAGUCUGGUGCCAGCAGCCGCGGUAACUCCAGCUCCAAAAGCGUAUAUUAAAGUUGCUGCAGUUAAAAAGUUCGUAGUUGGAUCUGGGUCGUGCGUUUCACAUGUCAUCGCUUGGGUUUGGCUAUCGUCAUUUCCAAGAGGUGUUAAAGUGGUCGUGCAGCCUUUUCAGCCGUGUCUGCGUGAGCAGGUGUUGGUUGGUUGGGUGAGCUUUGCUUGCUAGCUAACUGGCCAUGUUUCCUGAUGCCCUUUAACCGGGUGUCGGGGGCGUACGGCACUUUUUACUUUUGAACAAAUUUUGAGUGCUCCAAGCAGGGCAAAGCGCCCUGAAAAGUCUUGGCAUGGAAUAAUGGAAUAGGACUUCCGAUUCCUAUUUUUGUUGGUUUCCGGGAUUCCGAGUAAAUGGCUAAGAGGAACAAAACGGGGGCCAUUUUGUAUUGGCGGCGUUGAGACGUUGAAAAUUCCUUAUUGAUCGUCCGCCGAACCAACCUUACCACGGCCGAAGUAUUUUUGGCCCAAGGAAUAGUGUUUCUUCUCAUCGUUGA
This 1018-nucleotide ribosomal RNA is filed under the name Diplostomoidea sp. DISC-2009. RNAcentral's name for it is "bacterial SSU rRNA". It matches the Rfam family "Eukaryotic small subunit ribosomal RNA", at positions 101 to 982 of the family's 1831-position model. Lineage: Eukaryota; Metazoa; Platyhelminthes; Trematoda; Diplostomida. The record is from RNAcentral.